GCCCAGGUUGGGGGCUGCACCUGUUCAGGAGUAGGCUGGAAACUUGGGCCUGCCCUCAGGCGGCGCUCACUCAAGCCCAGCGUCAGUGCUGCGCAGCCCUGAGGGACGGGCGCGCCAGCCCCAGGGAACCGAGUUUUCUCCUGCGAGCCAGGACACGUUUGCGCCAGAAAGCCGAUUCGCCGAAACCCUCAGCACCGGGAAGCCACUGGAACGAUGGGAUUUGGUGGCAGAGGCCAGAGCAAAGGGCACUUCUGACAGCUUUGGGGACACCAAGAAACAGGCAUAAAACUCUGCAAACCCUGAGUUUACUGUCUUUCUCACCAUUUCCAAGGGCCAUGGGUACCUCUGUGAAAAAGGAAGAGAGAUCCACAUCACCCAUAAUGCCUGAACUGAAAAGUAGGAAUACAAGCAUUUAUUUUUAUAGAGGUGAGCCAAAGAACCUAGAAGGAAGACGGAAAAAUUUUCUUCCCCUGCACAUGGCACUUGAAGCCCUAAGUCACGUGGCUCCUGCUUGCCUUCAGUGUCCUCUCCUGACCUUCUCUGGUAUGGUAAUAGUUUAUUUCUAGACCAAGGGUCAGCCAACUUUUUCUAUAAAGGGCCAAAUAGUAAACAUUUUAGAUUCUGCAGCCUGUGGAGUCUUUGUUUCAACUAUUCAACUCUCUGAAAGCAGCCGCGAAUAAUAUGUAAAUAAACAAGUAUGGCUGUAUUUGUUCCAAUUAAAUGCUCUUUAAUGAACAUUAGAAUCUUAUAUUUUUCAUGUGUCAUGACAUUAUUUUUGUAAAUUUAUUCCCAACCAUUUAAAAAUGUAAAAAGCAUUCUACAGAAUGGUUGCAGAGAAACAGGCC
This is a long non-coding RNA of Panthera uncia (snow leopard), 845 nucleotides long. RefSeq lists it as uncharacterized. The record is from RefSeq and is a predicted model, not a curated record. Lineage: Eukaryota; Metazoa; Chordata; Mammalia; Carnivora; Felidae. The transcript is spliced from 4 exons.